This 800-nucleotide ribosomal RNA is filed under the name uncultured Methanogenium sp. Its description in RNAcentral is "bacterial SSU rRNA". It matches the Rfam family "Archaeal small subunit ribosomal RNA", at positions 1 to 807 of the family's 1478-position model. The record is from RNAcentral. Lineage: Archaea; Methanobacteriati; Methanobacteriota; Methanomicrobia; Methanomicrobiales; Methanomicrobiaceae.
UUUCCGGUUGAUCCUGCCGGAGGCCACUGCUAUCGGGGUUCGAUUUAGCCAUGCGAGUCGAGAGGGUUUAGACCCUCGGCGGACUGCUCAGUAACACGUGGAUAACCUGCCCUAAGGUGGAGGAUAACCCCGGGAAACUGGGGAUAAUACUCCAUAGAUUAGAGAUACUGGAAUGUUCUUUAGUCAAAAGUUCUGGCGCCUUAGGAUGGAUCUGCGGUCGAUUAGGUUGUUGUUGGGGUAACGGCCCAACAAGCCUGUAAUCGAUACGGGUUGUGGGAGCAAUAGCCCGGAGAUGGAAUCUGAGACAAGAUUCCAGGCCCUACGGGGCGCAGCAGGCGCGAAAACUUUACAAUGCAGGAAACUGUGAUAAGGGAACCCCGAGUGCCCGUAUACGCGGGCUGUCCAGGUGUUUAAAAGUCAUCUGAAGAAAGGGCCGGGCAAGACCGGUGCCAGCCGCCGCGGUAAUACCGGCGGCUCGAGUGGUGGCCACUAUUAUUGGGCUUAAAGCGUCCGUAGCUGGACUGAUAAGUCUCUUGGGAAAUCCGCCGGCUCAACCGGCGGGCGUCUAAGGGAUACUGUUGGUCUAGGGACCGGGAGAGGUGAGAGGUACUCCGGGGGUAGGAGUGAAAUCCUGUAAUCCCCGGGGGACCACCGAUGGCGAAGGCAUCUCACCAGAACGGCUCCGACAGUGAGGGACGAAAGCUGGGGGGAGCAAACCGGAUUAAAUACCCGGGUAGUCCCACCCGUAAACUAUGCGCGUUAGGUGUGCUGGUGACCACGUGUCACCGGGGUGCCGAGGG